CAGCCUUCCUUGCACCUUUUUCUCCGCUGCCCUGAACCCGAAAGGCUGUGGAUCUUGAGAAUAAGGAGCACAACCAAGGAGGGGUUCGGGAGGAGCCUGCACCCCUAAGGACCUCUAGAGGCUGCGAUCCGCCCUACCAGCGCCGGACUACCAACCGCCCGCCUUCCUUUAUGUGGGGGCGAAUCAAGCUUUUCUCUUAUUUUAGCCACUGUUUACGUUUCUUGCUGCUAUCCACAGCCGAAUCUAAUCCUAAGUAAUUAUAAAGCUACGGGAGGAGCUGAGGCUGGGCAAGGAAGUGGGUCCCAGUUUGUGGUAAAACCGCAAAGCCUGAGAGAUGUACUGGGAGCCAAAGGCUGAUGACCAGAAUUGUGGGGACAUCUGCCAGCUUCCUGAGGAGGCCCCAGAGCACCUGGAGACAACUCCCACCCAUCCAAAGCUCCAAGAGGGGCCCAUGGAACCCAGAAAAGGGGCCUGAAGGCCGGGCUCAGGGUGCGGAGGGGGCUGUACCAUCUCUCUUCUUCCCUGUCCACUCGGGCACCCAGACCAAAGCCAGCUGACCUGGGGGCAGAAGAAUUUGCCAUUAAUCGAUUUUGGAGUUUUCAUUUCUAGCCAGGAUUGGUCAUUCUGAUUACUGAUCUGAGACCAAAUUAGCCACUUAACGUGACCACAAGCCCAUAAGGAGUCCAGAGUGAGCCACGGAGGCAUGGGGCCAGCUGGAGUCCUCAUCCACAGGCAGAGGCAUUCCACCUUCAUUCAUUCAUCCGUCCGACAAGUGUGUACUGAGCCUCUACCUUGU
Long non-coding RNA from Choloepus didactylus (southern two-toed sloth), 796 nucleotides. RefSeq lists it as uncharacterized. The record is from RefSeq and is a predicted model, not a curated record. The transcript has 3 exons. Lineage: Eukaryota; Metazoa; Chordata; Mammalia; Pilosa; Megalonychidae.